GUACCCAGAAACUCCGUUCUGUUGCUCCAUUAUGUUAGGCACUCUACAAACAUAGACACAGACUCAUUCACAGUUCAGAGGAGCUUACAGUCUCCUGCAAACACUUACACAUGUUCUUAACUUUAAACUUGAGGUCAAUGAGACUACUUGGAUGUUUAAAGGUAAGCCUAUGUGUAAUUUUUUACAGGAUCUGGGCCUAAGACUUCAUGGUAGUAUACAAGUAAAAAGAUCCAUUACAUAAAAAUAAUUCCUUAUUCCCUUCUUGAACAUUUUUGUAAUAAGUGCAGCCUAUGUUGCCACCAAGAUUUAAAGUUUUUUCUUUAAACAGCAUAUUAUCUAAGAAGAGAAAACUGAUUUAAAUCACAUAUUCCAUCUAAUGAUUGCAAACAUAUUCAGUUAAACCAAGAUAAAAUUAACUCUCUUUUUGCCAUUGGGGGUCAUUCCUAGUGCAUUUGUUUGGAUGUCAGUUUAAAAAAAAAAUGCCAUUAGCCUAAGGGUAAACUUUUUUGUUCUAAAAUAUAGAAAGAUUCCUGAAAGUACAACAGACAAAUAGACAUUCGUUACAUUAGAGGCAUCUGUUUCGGAAGAAGUUGAUUUUCAAAUAUGAAAAUGUAAUUUUAGCAUUCAGGAUAGUGGUAAUUUAAAAUAAAACAAGAACAAUAGUCAUUAAAUGGCUGUGUUUCUGGACUUAGAUUGAUGCUUAACACAUUGAUCUUCUUCAAAAGAAGCUUUCCAUAUUCCAUCUGUUAGAAUCUUUGACCUUUUCUUAACACCAUUAAAAGAUAAAAUGUUAAUCUACUGAAAAAAGAUGCAUGACCUUUUAAAAGUGAACUGUACCACUUUAGAGUCUGCCAUCAUUAAAGAACUUUAUGCUCAGGAGCCAUGCAUUAUGUGUAUCAUAGCAAUUUAAUUGUUUAGAAUAAUGUAAUUGUUCAACCAAGAAGAUAUAUACCACACGUACCAUAAAUUAGAACUAGAACAAUGUGAACUUUGACAAAAACUGAUCAAGUUAAUGUGUCAGUCCAGGGCUCCCUUUCAGUUCUAAUCAGCCACAACCUCUGAAUGUUUUUUUUUUAUUAUUAUGCUAAGAUGUAUGUCUGGGAGUCAUCAUUUAAAAAAAUAAUUAAAAAAAGACAGCACCUAGUAACAAAUAAAACGACAUCAUGGAUGUUUGGCACUUUUUAACUUUUUUUUCUCCCCCAAAUUAUGUGUUUUUAUUUAUUGAAGUUCAGGCCAUAAGUGUGAAACUCAUAUUUCAAAUUGGAGCAAAGCUUUUAAAUGAUCACAGAUUUAUUGAAAAUGGUGUUUACUUGUUUAUGUGAAAACUGAUCCGUUAUGAAGCAGACAAUUUUAAUGACAGUGGCCCCAACCCAGGAAAGCACUGAAGCAUGUGCUUACAUGAAGCUGUAUUCAAUAAAGCAUUUAAGAACAUGCUUAACUUCUAGCACGUGGUUAAUUCCCUCUGGCUUCUAGGUAAGCCCAUGCUUUCCUGAUUGAAGGGUUUCCCUGAAUACAGCCAGAGACAACAAACUGAAUGAUUAUUAUGUAAUUUAACUUUGCUUUAUGCCAUGAUGUUCGCUCUAGAAAUAAAAGAGAGAAGCAAUUCCUUGCUAAAAAAUCUGUAAGUACAGCAAUCUGAUUAAUGCUUUGGCUACCUAAGAAGUGCACAGCAAAUGACUCCAGAAAGUCCAUAUGGGUUCCUCUUUAGAAUAAGAUGUUCUAGUCUUUGAUGUACAGUGCUAGAGCCCAAAAAUCCCACCUAUGCUACAGAAGAGUGUGUCUUUUUAAAUGAGCUCAGUAUUAUUCAGUGAAGUUUUCCCUGCAGAGUAAGUGAUCAUCGGAUAAAGCAUCAAGGCUCUAGCACGAUAGAAGUUCUACUCAUAUGUGUAUUAACUAUUUAUUGUUGUUACUGUUGUUAUUAAUUUAUAUUGCGAUAGCACCAAAGGGUCCCAAUCGUGGCCCAGGACCUUGCUUGUGCCAAGCACUGUACAGACACAGAACAAAAAGAUAGUCCCCACCGCAAAGCUCUUACUAUAAGAUAAGAUACAGCAAAUAGAUACAAUGAACAGAUGUAAGGAGUAGAAGGCAACAAUGAGACAGUACUAGUCAGCCUGAUAAGCAGUGGUCACACCACAACAAAUCCCUAGCCCUUGUUGAGUAUUUUAUAGGCAUCACUGCAGAGGAGAAUGUUGAGGAGAGUGGAAGGACAAUGAGGUGAGAUUGUGGAUGUUUGUGUUGCCAGCUCUUGCAAUCUUAGCAUGAGUUUUUGCUAUAUUUGGUGCUUCCUUAAAGCCCUAGCUGCUGGAAUCCUAUUACAUGGGAUUCUUAGUAGUCAUUUUAAAAAAAGAAAAGGUUUCUAGCCCUGCUGGUUGCAGAGACAAUCAUGAACCCUAAUGAUGGCUCCAAAGCCACAAGAGAAAUAAAAAGACUCCAAAAGUUAUUUUUUUAAAUCUCAAUUUCCCCCCCCCCCUCCCAAUCUCAUUAUUUUUGAGUGCUGAUAUUCACUGGGAGCUCCUCCCAUCCAUAAAGGGAGCACAGAAGAAACUAUGAAAUAGAAUUUUGGAAAAUUUAACAAAUAAGAAGACAUUUUCCUCUGUAAAUACUUCUACCUCCUAAUUAAAACUCUCUAUAUGGUUUUCUGCUCCUGGUGCUUUAAUAGGUGAGUUUGUUUAUAUUUUCUCUCUGUUAAAUAAAUAUGACCUAAUUUUCUUGAAUCCAAGCAUUUCAUAUCCAAAGUGAAUAAUACCACCUUUUUCAUUUUGAAUUUUUAUCACACUCUUUCACUAUAUUAACCUGUUCCCUCAACCUUCAUCCCAGUUUAUCACUGCAAAUUUCCUCACUUCCAUAUUCUUCUCUGUAGGUCAUUGAUAUUGAAAGCAGGCAAUAUGUUUCUUAGUGUUCAGUGAUGUGGCACUUCACUGGUCGCAUAGUAUACUAGCUAUCAAGAUGACAGUCGGUGUUGCUCUGAAUAGCAUAUAUUUACAAUGCAUACCAUGUGAAAGCCUGUAGCGGGGUGGCAUGGACCCAGCCAACGGGGGGAGUCGGUGGCAACAAAGCACAGUCAUAUGCCAAAUGUGGUGGGGGAAGGAAAUGUGUAGCGGUCUGUGUGUUUGUGUUCAAGGAUAUACAGGAUUCAGACCUAUUUUUCCUAUGGUCCAUCAAUCUGUGGGUAACUUAGCAGGCCACUUGCCCUGCCAGUUGCACAUUGCUGGUGGCCUGCCUUACAGAGAUUCAGUUCCACCUCUGAAGGCAGUAGUACCUCAAGAAAACAUGAGCUAUUUCAAGGUAAGUCCACCCUUCCAUGCAUUUUUAUGUUGGAAGGGAGGAUACGAUCCACUGUAAUUACUUUUGUGUCUACUAAGUAUGACUACAAAAUAAUCUACCAAAGCUAUAAUUACUACCUAAUUAGUGUUUCCAAAUAAAACCUACAUAGUUACCGUACUGCUUGCUGUUUCUUCAUGCUGUAGUAGUAGUCAUCCUUAAACCUUUUGUGGCUGCUCAUCACUUGUUACUAAACAAAGCCUAAAUGCUACAGGCCUUGCCAAAAAAAACCUAUUCCUCUUUUUCACUGUGAAACUGGAUGUGAAAGAAAAAGUUUCAAACUGUGCUGCUCUUAGAAACAUUAAGGCAGCAUAUAAAUAGAAUAGUAAACCUGUUAAGAAAGUUCUGGUCUUGUGUUUACAUGUUCAUUACCGUUUUGGACAAAGGGAGCCUGCAAUUAAUAUUUUCCAUUUCAAAACAUAACUUUCUUUUCUCUUUCAUAUUAGGUUUAUACUAUUUUCCAUGGUGCCGCUGUCCAUAACCAGGAACUCCUCAUUUGCUUGCUGAUCAAUUCAUACAGCACAAAUGCUCAUGUCAGUCUAUUAGAACGUGAUAGAAGUACUGAUCACUGCCUCUGCAUCUAAAUCCUUUUGAAACCAGGAUGACCUGCUGAAGAGGAUUUUGAGUGGAAGGCCCUUCACAAGACUCUUUCAAAUCCACAUAAAUAAAGCCCUUUACUGGCUUAAAAUGGCCCCUCAGAUUUAGCACUACAGAGCCCCUAAAAAGCACAACACGAUUGUCAUGGAUAUUACAUGAUGGUAACAACAACAGGCCAAGAAGACAAGUCUCGAUGCUGAACAAAACUAGGCCAGACUUUUUCAUGAUUUGGGAUACAGAUUGCUGACAGCCCAGUAAAUAGGCUGUUUAACCCUUUGAAAGUGAAUAAAGGGUGUGGAGACAAAUGCUUUCUGAUAGACUUUGUGCAUGUAAUGGGCAAAAAAGUAUAGUAUGUUUUCUGGGAUUUUUAGUGCACGAUUAAUAUUUAAAUAUUUGAGAAUGAUUAGUACAGA
This is a long non-coding RNA of Malaclemys terrapin pileata, 4331 nucleotides long. RefSeq lists it as uncharacterized. NCBI's taxonomy places the organism in Eukaryota, Metazoa, Chordata, Testudines, Emydidae. The transcript has 2 exons. The record is from RefSeq and is a predicted model, not a curated record.